AGAGUUUGAUCAUGGCUCAGGAUGAACGCUAGCUACAGGCUUAACACAUGCAAGUCGAGGGGAAACGGACAUCGAAAGCUUGCUUUUGAUGGGCGUCGACCGGCGCACGGGUGAGUAACGCGUAUCCAACCUGCCCACCACUUGGGGAUAACCUUGCGAAAGUAAGACUAAUACCCAAUGAUAUCUCUAGAAGACAUCUGAAAGAGAUUAAAGAUUUAUCGGUGAUGGAUGGGGAUGCGUCUGAUUAGCUUGUUGGCGGGGUAACGGCCACCAAGGCUACGAUCAGGUAGGGGUUCUGAGAGGAACGGUCCCCCANAUUGGAACUGAGACACGGUCCAAACUCCGUACGGGAGCA
This 355-nucleotide ribosomal RNA is filed under the name uncultured bacterium. Its description in RNAcentral is "bacterial SSU rRNA". It matches the Rfam family "Bacterial small subunit ribosomal RNA", at positions 8 to 349 of the family's 1533-position model. The record is from RNAcentral.